This is a non-coding RNA of Benincasa hispida (wax gourd), 259 nucleotides long. NCBI's taxonomy places the organism in Eukaryota, Viridiplantae, Streptophyta, Magnoliopsida, Cucurbitales, Cucurbitaceae. The record is from RefSeq and is a predicted model, not a curated record.
CGAAUGAUUGUUUCUUUUGUUGUGUAGUAUCCAGAAAUUUUGUCUCGGCUCUGAACAAGUUUGUUGCUGAUCUUUAUUCUCCAAAUCAUUCAGUUUUCGAGUAUCAUGUCUAUGAAUUCUUCAUGAUAUCGAAGUGCUCUCGUGAUGAAGACCAACUAUCGUGGCCAACACAAAAGAUUUUGUUGGUAUGACAAGAUUCAAUUGUGUAAUUAUUUUAGUUUUGUUCUUUUUUUGCUGGAUGUAUAUAUAUGACCCUCAA